Molecule: transfer RNA, 56 nt
Filed under: Bunostomum trigonocephalum (sheep hookworm)
Lineage: Eukaryota; Metazoa; Nematoda; Chromadorea; Rhabditida; Ancylostomatidae
Description: tRNA-Val
Source: RNAcentral
GAACUUAUAGUUUAAAUUAGAAUAUUUCAUUCACAAUGAAGAGGUUAAAAAGUUUU